ACUCAAAUGAAUAGACGGGGGCCCGCACAAGCGGUGGAGCAUGUUGUUUAAUUCGAUGAUACGCGAGGAACCUUACCUGGGUUUGACAUAAAGAGGAAUAAUGCAGAGAUGUGUUAGCGGCUUGCCGCCUUUUUACAGGUGCUGCAUGGCUGUCGUCAGCUCGUGCCGUGAGGUGUUGGGUUAAGUCCCGCAACGAGCGCAACCCUUAUCACCAGUUACCAUCAUUAAGUUGGGGACUCUGAGGAGACUGCCGGCGAUGAGCCGGAGGAAGGUGGGGAUGAUGUCAAGUCAGCAUGGCCUUUAUAUCCAGGGCUACAAACGUGCUACAAUGGCCGGUACAAAGUGAAGCGAAGCCGCGAGGUGGAGCAAACCGCAAAAAGCCGGUCUCAGUUCGGAUUACAGUCUGAAACUCGACUGUAUGAAGUUGGAAUCGCUAGUAAUCGCAUAUCAGAAUGAUGCGGUGAAUACGUUCCCGGGCCUUGUACACACCGCCCGU
This 496-nucleotide ribosomal RNA is filed under the name uncultured bacterium. Its description in RNAcentral is "bacterial SSU rRNA". It matches the Rfam family "Bacterial small subunit ribosomal RNA", at positions 899 to 1397 of the family's 1533-position model. The record is from RNAcentral.